Molecule: long non-coding RNA, 766 nt
Organism: Homo sapiens (human)
Lineage: Eukaryota; Metazoa; Chordata; Mammalia; Primates; Hominidae
Source: Ensembl
UAAUGCUUCAGAUAGCAGAGGACCGACAGCUGUGACUUUAUUUGGUGAUGGAAUAAAUAAGAGUCUCACUGUGUCACCCAGGAUUGGCUCGCUGCAUCACCCAGGAUCGGCCCACUGCAACCUCCACCUUCCAGGUUCAAACGAUUCUUCUGCCUCUGCCUUUUGAGUAGCUGGGAUUACAGGCACGAGCCACCAUGCCCAGCUAAUUUUUGUAUUUUUAGUAGAGCCGGGCUUUCACCACGUUGGCCAGGCUGGUCUUGAACUCCCGAUCUCAGAUGAUCUACCAACCUUGGCCACCCAAAGUGCUGGGUUUACAGGUGUGAGCCACCAUGCCUGACCUCCAAUUUCAUGAACUUCUCAGGCCCUCUGUGCAUGCCAUGCUUAAUAAGGUAAUAAAAAGGUAAGAUUAUAAAGAAGGAAGAGGCCUAUCAAGGAAAGAAGGCUCUUUAUUUGCUUUGCUGUCAUGGUAUCCUUCCCAUUCCACUGGCUUCCAGCACAUAUGUGGAAACUUUUUGGGAAAGUUCCCCAAAACUUUGGGGAACUGUGUUCCCCUGAAGUUUGGAGGGUGAGGAGUGAAAGAGGUUGAGAAGAAUGAGCUGGCUGGGUUGGACAUUCAGAGGUGACAAUGGCCAGAUCAACCUUGAUGGAGUCUUGUUCUGUCACCAGGCUGGAGUGCAGUGGUGCGAUCUCAGCUCACUACAACCUCCACCUCCUGGGUUCAAGUGAAUCCCCUGCCUCAGCCUCCCUAGUAGCUGGGACUACAGGC